Molecule: ribosomal RNA, 232 nt
Filed under: uncultured bacterium
Lineage: Bacteria
Description: partial 16S ribosomal RNA
Rfam family: Bacterial small subunit ribosomal RNA
Source: RNAcentral
GAUCAUGGCUCAGGACGAACGCUGGCGGCGUGCUUAACACAUGCAAGUCGGAACGAGAAUCUGCUGAAGGAGGAUUCGUCCAACGGAAGUAGAGGAAAGUGGCGGACGGGUGAGUAACGCGUGAGGAACCUGCCUUGAAGAGGGGGGACAACAGUUGGAAACGACUGCUAAUACCGCAUGACGCAUAGGGGUCGCAUGAUCUUUAUGCCAAAGAUUUAUCGCUUCAAGAUGG